GAUGAACGCUGGCGGCGUGCCUAAUACAUGCAAGUCGAGCGAAGCGGGGACGGGUGAGUAACACGUGGAUAACCUCCUAUAAGACUGGGUUAACUUCGGGAAACCGGAGCUAAACCGGAUACUCAGAGAUGGAUCCGCGCUGCAUUGGCUAGUUGGUAAGGUAACGGCUUACCAAGGCAACGAUGCAUAGCCGACCUGAGAGGGUGAUCGGCCACACGGGAACUGAGACACGGUCCAGACUCCUACGGGAGGCAGCAGUAGGGAAUCUUCCGCAAUGGGCGAAAGCCUGACGGAGCAACGCCGCGUGAGUGAAGAAGGUUUUCGGAUCGUAAAACUCUGUUAUUAGGGAAGCGGUACCUAACCAGAAAGCCACGGCUAACUACGUGCCAGCAGCCGCGGUAAUAC
This 405-nucleotide ribosomal RNA is filed under the name uncultured bacterium. RNAcentral describes it as "partial 16S ribosomal RNA". It matches the Rfam family "Bacterial small subunit ribosomal RNA", at positions 28 to 526 of the family's 1533-position model. The record is from RNAcentral.